RNAcentral lists this ribosomal RNA (443 nucleotides) under uncultured bacterium. RNAcentral's name for it is "partial 16S ribosomal RNA". It matches the Rfam family "Bacterial small subunit ribosomal RNA", at positions 338 to 795 of the family's 1533-position model. The record is from RNAcentral.
CCUACGGGUGGCAGCAGUGGGGAAUAUUGGGCAAUGGGCGCAAGCCUGACCCAGCAACGCCGCGGGAAGGAAGAAGGCGUUCGGGUUGGAAACUUCUGUUGUCAGGGACGAAGCAAGUGACGGUACCUGACGAAUAAGCCACGGCUAACGACGGGCCAGCAGCCGCGGUAAUACGUAGGUGGCAAGCGUUAUCCGGAUUUACUGGGUGUAAAGGGCGUGUAGGCGGGACUGCAAGGCAGAUGGGAAAACCACGGGCUCAACCUGUGGCCUGCAUUUGAAACUGUAGUUCUUGAGUACUGGAGAGGCAGGCGGAAUUCCUAGUGUAGCGGUGAAAUGCGUAGAUAUUAGGCGGAACACCAGUGGCGAAGGCGGUCUGCUGGACCGCAACUGACGCUGAGGCGCGAAAGCGUGGGGAGCAAACAGGAUUAGAUACCCUUGUAGUC